GAACGCGAAAGGGGGCAACCCCGAGUAGAGUGGCGAACGGGUGAGCAAUACAUCGGAACGUGUCCUGUAGCGGGGGACAACCUCGAGAAAUCGAGGCUAAUACCGCAUACGAUCUACGGAUGAAAGUGGGGGACCGCAAGGCCCCACACUAUAGGAGCGGCCGAUGCCGGAUUAGCUAGUUGGUGGGGUAACGGCCUACCAAGGCGACGAUCCGUAGCUGGUUUGAGAGAACGACCAGCCACACUGGGACUGAGACACGGCCCAGACUCCUACGGGAGGCAGCAGUGGGGAAUAUUGGACAAUGGGCGCAAGCCUGAUCCAGCAAUGCCGCGUGAGUGAUGAAGGCCUUAGGGUUGUAAAGCUCUUUCGGCGGGGACGAUGAUGACGGUACCCGCAGAAGAAGCCCCGGCUAACUUCGUG
RNAcentral lists this ribosomal RNA (420 nucleotides) under uncultured bacterium. RNAcentral's name for it is "bacterial SSU rRNA". It matches the Rfam family "Bacterial small subunit ribosomal RNA", at positions 64 to 507 of the family's 1533-position model. The record is from RNAcentral.